Molecule: non-coding RNA, 1080 nt
Organism: Cinara cedri
Lineage: Eukaryota; Metazoa; Arthropoda; Insecta; Hemiptera; Aphididae
Source: the annotation of a GenBank genome assembly
AAUAAAUUGUUUAAAAAUUCAAUUGAUUUUAUUAUUCUGAAAAUUCUUGUAAAAUUUGUGUUUCUUUAAAAAUUAAUUUAGACUCUUUAGGCAAAAUUUUACUUUAUUGAAACGUUAUACCAUAAAAGAUUUAGAUUAUGUUAACUUUUCUAACAAUUUGUUUAAGUAGGUAACUAUUUUUUUAGAUUCUGAGUGAUUUGUUCCGAUUUUUACGUGUAGUAACUUUUCUGAGAGGAAAUUUCACUGUAGAAGUACUUUAAAGUAGUCGUUUUUAAAUUUUUUCCGGAGUUUUCUCAACAAAUGUGAAAAACCAAAAAAAACGGAGGGAAAACGGAAUCCAUUUUAAUUUUGGAAUUGGAAUCAUUGUAAUUUUACCAUAAUAUGACACAUGUAUUGUUGACAAAGCAGCACUAUCAACUGAACUCUGCUCAGAAUCGUUUUUUCGUUAGCAAUAGUUUAUCGUUGCUUACAGGUGUACUUUAAAUUACUUUUAACAAUGGCUGCACCAUUAUCCUAGGAUGUCUUUUGAAUUGACACGUUAAUGUGAAAGGGGCAACUUCACGCAUAUAUGGUAACGUAUGUAACUGAAUUUGCUUCAAAGCCGUUUUACGUUUGAACUAAUUUAUGAUUGAAUACAGUCAUAUAUUAAAUUAAUUUUUGUAUAAUGUAUAUCUUACAUUCUCAAUUUACAACAGCAGCUCAUCCAUGGUAAAAAGUAUGUCAGUUUUUUCAGUCAAAUUUUUUACUAUCUUUAAUUUGUUCAAGUUUUUGUUUUGCCCUAAUAUUAGUAGCAUAUUAUGUAUUUUUUUCCAGUUCACACUAGGCCAACAUUGCAAAUCCAUUAAAUUGAUUAUAAGGGUUACAAUAUUUAGUUAUUAAAUAAUAUGGAUUAUUUGCCGUAUAAAAUUGAUGGUAUUUUUAAGGCUGGGCAAGUUAAUAAUAUUUUAAGUAUUUUGAGUGAGUACGUUUUUAAAUUUAUUGUAAUAUUCAAUAAUAAAUAUACCUUUGACAUAGUAUUUCUUAGAUAUGUUUUCAUUUCCUGUAAAAAAGAAAACAUAAUAUUAGUUCUGUAGCGGUAAA